AGCAGCCGCGGUAAUUCCAGCUCCAAUAGCGUAUAUUAAAGUUGUUGCAGUUAAAAAGCUCGUAGUUGAAUUUCGGGAUUGACACAUCGGUCGUGCCUUAAGGGGUAUGAACUGGUGUAGUCAAUUUCUCACCUUCUGGAGAACCGCGAUGCCCUUAAUUGGGUGUCGCGGGGAACCAGGACCUUUACUUUGAAAAAAUUAGAGUGUUUAAAGCAGGCAUUUUGCUUGAAUACAUUAGCAUGGAAUAAUAAAAUAGGACGGCACGAUUCUAUUUUGUUGGUCUCUAGGAUCACCGUAAUGAUUAAUAGGGAUAGUUGGGGGCAUUAGUAUUCAAUUGUCAGAGGUGAAAAUUCUUGGAUUUAUUGAAGACUAACUACUGCGAAAGCAUUUGCCAAGGAUGUUUUCAUUAAUCAAGAACGAAAGUUAGGGGAUCGAAGACGAGUCAGAUAC
Molecule: ribosomal RNA, 450 nt
Filed under: uncultured Glomeromycotina
Lineage: Eukaryota; Fungi; Glomeromycota
Description: SSU rRNA
Rfam family: Eukaryotic small subunit ribosomal RNA
Source: RNAcentral